AACGAACGCUGGCGGCAUGCCUAACACAUGCAAGUCGAACGAAGUCUUCGGACUUAGUGGCGCACGGGUGCGUAACGCGUGGGAAUCUGCCCUUGGGUGCGGAAUAACUUCUCGAAAGGGAUGCUAAUACCGCAUAAUGUCGUAAGACCAAAGAUUUAUCGCCCAAGGAUGAGCCCACGUAAGAUUAGCUAGUUGGUGGGGUAAAAGCCUACCAAGGCGACGAUCUUUAGCUGGUCUGAGAGGAUGAUCAGCCACACUGGGACUGAGACACGGCCCAGACUCCUACGGGAGGCAGCAGUGGGGAAUAUUGGACAAUGGCGAAAGCCUGAUCCAGCAAUGCCGCGUGAGUGAUGAAGGCCCUACGGGUUGGUUAAAGGACUCUUUUUACCUACGGGAGUGAUAAUGACAGUACCUGGAGAAUAAGACUCCGG
RNAcentral lists this ribosomal RNA (431 nucleotides) under uncultured bacterium. RNAcentral describes it as "bacterial SSU rRNA". It matches the Rfam family "Bacterial small subunit ribosomal RNA", at positions 29 to 497 of the family's 1533-position model. The record is from RNAcentral.